UAAUUACGUUGAAGUUCUUAAAUCAAUAAAUAUCUAUAAUAUUAAUAUUAAUAAUUCUAUUGUUAUGUAUAGAAAGGUUUAUGGUCUGUUACAAGAGUGAAAGUCCUCCCUUUUAAAUAUAAAUCAAAUUUCUUUACAGCCCAUAUAAUGGCCAAAGCCUCUUUAUCAAUUUGAGAAUAUUUUGUUUCUGCAUCAUUGAGCGUUCUGCUUGCAAAUGCAAUAGGACGUUCACACACUGCAUUACCUAUCUUAAUUUCAUGAGCUAAACAAGCUCCUAAACCAUACCUUGA
Molecule: unclassified non-coding RNA, 290 nt
Filed under: Melitaea cinxia (Glanville fritillary)
Lineage: Eukaryota; Metazoa; Arthropoda; Insecta; Lepidoptera; Nymphalidae
Description: misc RNA ENSMCXG00005006392.1
Source: RNAcentral